Molecule: ribosomal RNA, 581 nt
Filed under: uncultured archaeon
Lineage: Archaea
Description: bacterial SSU rRNA
Rfam family: Archaeal small subunit ribosomal RNA
Source: RNAcentral
AGGCUGCUGGAAAUACUGCAGGACUAGGGAGUGGGAGAGGUAGACGGUACUCGGGAGGAAGUGGUAAAAUGCUUUGAUCUCUCGAUGACCACCUGUGGCGAAGGCGGUCUACCAGAACACGUCCGACGGUGAGGGAUGAAAGCUGGGGGAGCAAACCGGAUUAGAUACCCGGGUAGUCCCAGCUGUAAACUAUGCAAACUCAGUGAUGCACUGGCUUGUGGCCAGUGCAGUGUUGCAGGGAAGCCGUUAAGUUUGCCGCCUGGGAAGUACGUACGCAAGUAUGAAACUUAAAGGAAUUGGCGGGGGAGUACCACAAGGGGUGAAGCCUGCGGUUCAAUUGGAGUCAAGGCCAGAAAUCUUACCCGGAGAGACAGCAGGAUGAAGGUCAAGCUGAAGACUUUACCAGACAAGCUGAGAGGUGGUGCAUGGCCGUCGUCAGCUCGUGCCGUGAGAUGUCCUGUUAAGUCAGGUAACGAGCGAGAUCCCUGCCUCUAGUUGCCACCAUUACUCUCAGGAGUAGUGGGGCGAAUUAGCGGGACCGCCGCAGUUAAUGCGGAGGAAGGAAGGGGCCACGACAGGUC